GCAGCCGUAGUGUAGUGGUAACAUCGGACCCUUCCAAGGUCCUGUCUCGGGUUCGAAUCCCGACGGCUGCA
RNAcentral lists this transfer RNA (71 nucleotides) under Candidatus Diapherotrites archaeon CG08_land_8_20_14_0_20_34_12. RNAcentral's name for it is "tRNA-Gly". It matches the Rfam family "tRNA". From Rfam's summary of the family: Transfer RNA (tRNA) molecules are approximately 80 nucleotides in length. Their secondary structure includes four short double-helical elements and three loops (D, anti-codon, and T loops). Further hydrogen bonds mediate the characteristic L-shaped molecular structure. tRNAs have two regions of fundamental functional importance: the anti-codon, which is responsible for specific mRNA codon recognition, and the 3' end, to which the tRNAs corresponding amino acid is attached (by aminoacyl-tRNA synthetases). tRNAs cope with the degeneracy of the genetic code in two manners: having more than one tRNA (with a specific anti-codon) for a particular amino acid; and 'wobble' base-pairing, i.e. permitting non-standard base-pairing at the 3rd anti-codon position. Lineage: Archaea; Nanobdellati; Candidatus Iainarchaeota. The record is from RNAcentral.